RNAcentral lists this ribosomal RNA (407 nucleotides) under uncultured bacterium. RNAcentral describes it as "partial 16S ribosomal RNA". It matches the Rfam family "Bacterial small subunit ribosomal RNA", at positions 28 to 526 of the family's 1533-position model. The record is from RNAcentral.
GACGAACGCUGGCGGCGUGCCUAAUACAUGCAAGUAGGACGCAGUUGCGAACGGGUGAGUAACGCGUAGGUAACUGCCUCUGAGAGGGGGAUAACUAUUGGAAACGAUAGCUAAUACCGCAUACUAGUAGAUGGACCUGCGUUGUAUUAGCUAGUAGGUCGUGUAAUGGCCUACCUAGGCGACGAUACAUAGCCGAUCUGCUAGGGUGAUCGGGCACACGGGGACUGAGACACGGCCCAGACUCCUACGGGAGGCAGCAGUAGGGAAUCUUCGGCAAUGGGGGGAACCCUUACCGAGCAACGCCGCGUGAGUGAAGAAGGUUUUCGGAUCGUAAAGCUCUGUUGUGAAGGAAGCGGUACUUAACCAGAAAGGGACGGCUAACUACGUGCCAGCAGCCGCGGUAAUAC